This 73-nucleotide transfer RNA is filed under the name Actinomycetes bacterium. Its description in RNAcentral is "Actinobacteria bacterium tRNA-Ala". It matches the Rfam family "tRNA". Rfam says of the family: Transfer RNA (tRNA) molecules are approximately 80 nucleotides in length. The record is from RNAcentral. Lineage: Bacteria; Bacillati; Actinomycetota; Actinomycetes. RNAcentral also lists the same sequence under 2 other names.
GGGGCCGUAGCUCAGCUGGGAGAGCGCGAGAGUGGCACUCUCGAGGUCACGGGUUCGAUCCCCGUCGGCUCCA